This 253-nucleotide ribosomal RNA is filed under the name uncultured bacterium. Its description in RNAcentral is "partial 16S ribosomal RNA". It matches the Rfam family "Bacterial small subunit ribosomal RNA", at positions 524 to 776 of the family's 1533-position model. The record is from RNAcentral.
UACAUAGGGUGCAAGCGUUAUUCGGAAUUAUUGGGCGUAAAGGGCGCGUAGGCGGUUUUUUAAGUCGGAUGUGCAAUCCCUGGGCUCAACCCAGGAACUGCAUCCGAGACUGGAAGGCUAGAGUACUGGAGAGGGUGGUGGAAUUCCUCGUGUAGCGGUGAAAUGCGUAGAUAUCGGGAGGAACAUCAGUGGCGAAGGCGGCUCUCUGGACCAAAACUGACACUGAGGCGCGACAGCGUGGGGAUCAAACAGG